This is a long non-coding RNA of Brassica rapa (field mustard), 418 nucleotides long. RefSeq lists it as uncharacterized. Lineage: Eukaryota; Viridiplantae; Streptophyta; Magnoliopsida; Brassicales; Brassicaceae. The record is from RefSeq and is a predicted model, not a curated record.
UUUAAAUAUAUUUUCUAUUUCAAUUUUAAUUUUAUAUUUUCGAAUUUCAAUUUAAAAAAAUAAAUUUAUAUAUUUUUUUUUAAUUUUGGAAAUAUUCCGAGGAAGUGUAUCCCUCGGGAUAUUCCGACGACAUCUUCCUCGGAAUAUUCCGAGGAAAUUCCGACGAACAUGUGGUCCUCGGAAUUUCCUCGGAAAUUCGUUUCUUCGGAAUUCCGUCGGAAAUUUCCGAGGAAUUUCUGAGGAAAAAUGAAAUUCCGAAGAGUUAUUUCCGAAGACUUUUUUCGUCGGUAUGUCGUCGGAAUAGCGUUAUUCCGACGACAUACCGACGAUAUUUUCCCUCAGUAUGUCGCUGUUUUCUUGUAGUGUCUUUAUUUAAAUGAUAUUAAGAUAUAUAUAUGUAUAUAUAUCAUAUGAAUAA